CCUACGGGUGGCAGCAGUGGGGAAUAUUGGGCAAUGGGCGCAAGGCUGACCCAGCAACGCCGCGUGAAGGAAGAAGGCUUUCGGGUUGUAAACUUCUUUUAUUGAGGACGAAACAAAUGACGGUACUCAAUGACUAAGCCACGGCUAACUACGGGCCAGCAGCCGCGGUAAUACGGAGGUGGCAAGCGUUAUCCGGAUUUACUGGGUGUAAAGGGCGUGUAGGCGGGACUGCAAGUCAGGUGGUAAAACCAUGGGCUCAACACAUUGUCUGCAGUUGAAACUGGAGGUCUUGAGUGAAGGAGAGGCAGGCGGAAUUCGGGGGGUAGCGGUGAAAUGCGUAGAUAUACCGAGGAACACCAGGGGCGAAGGCGGCCUGCUGGACAUUAACUGACGCUGAGGCGCGAAAGCGUGGGUAGCAAACAGGAUUAGAUACCCUUGUAGUC
RNAcentral lists this ribosomal RNA (443 nucleotides) under uncultured bacterium. Its description in RNAcentral is "partial 16S ribosomal RNA". It matches the Rfam family "Bacterial small subunit ribosomal RNA", at positions 338 to 795 of the family's 1533-position model. The record is from RNAcentral.